AUGAGCGCUGGCGGCGUGCCUAAUACCUGCCAGUCGCGCGAACAGACGAGGAGCUUGCUCCUCUGACGUUAGCGGCGGACGGGUGAGUAACACGUGGAUAACCUACCUAUAAGACUGGGAUAACUUCGGGAAACCGGAGCUAAUACCGGAUAAUAUAUUGAACCGCAUGGUUCAAUAGUGAAAGACGGUUUUGCUGUCACUUAUAGAUGGAUCCGCGCCGCAUUAGCUAGUUGGUAAGGUAACGGCUUACCAAGGCAACGAUGCGUAGCCGACCCGAGAGGGUGAUCGGCCACACUGGAACUGAGACACGGUCCAGACUCCUACGGGAGGCAGCAGUAGGGAAUCUUCCGCAAUGGGCGAAAGCCUGACGGAGCAACGCCGCGUGAGUGAUGAAGGUCUUCGGAUCGUAAAACUCUGUUAUUAGGGAAGAACAAAUGUGUAAGUAACUAUGCACGUCUUGACGGUACCUAAUCAGAAAGCCACGGCUAACUACGUG
Molecule: ribosomal RNA, 496 nt
Filed under: uncultured bacterium
Lineage: Bacteria
Description: partial 16S ribosomal RNA
Rfam family: Bacterial small subunit ribosomal RNA
Source: RNAcentral